RNAcentral lists this ribosomal RNA (201 nucleotides) under uncultured bacterium. RNAcentral's name for it is "partial 16S ribosomal RNA". It matches the Rfam family "Bacterial small subunit ribosomal RNA", at positions 328 to 539 of the family's 1533-position model. The record is from RNAcentral.
ACGCUCGACACCUACGAGAGGCAGCAGUGGGGAAUAUUGCACAAUGGGGGAAACCCUGAUGCAGCAACGCCGCGUGAAGGAAGAAGGUUUUCGGAUCGUAAACUUCUAUCAAAAGGGACGAAAGAAAUGACGGUACCUUAAUAAGAAGCCCCGGCUAACUACGUGCCAGCAGCCGCGGUAAUCUGAGCGGGCUGGCAAGGC